This 433-nucleotide ribosomal RNA is filed under the name uncultured bacterium. Its description in RNAcentral is "partial 16S ribosomal RNA". It matches the Rfam family "Bacterial small subunit ribosomal RNA", at positions 29 to 507 of the family's 1533-position model. The record is from RNAcentral.
AACGAACGCUGGCGGCAUGCCUAACACAUGCAAGUCGAACGAGACCUUCGGGUCUAGUGGCGUACGGGUGCGUAACGCGUGGGAACCUGCCCUUAGGUUCGGCAUAACUCCCCGAAAGGGGUGCUAAUACCGGAUAAUGUCUUCGGACCAAAGAUUUAUCGCCUUUGGAUGGGCCCGCGUUGGAUUAGCUAGUUGGUAGGGUAAAAGCCUACCAAGGCGACGAUCCAUAGCUGGUCUGAGAGGAUGAUCAGCCACACUGGGACUGAGACACGGCCCAGACUCCUACGGGAGGCAGCAGUGGGGAAUAUUGGACAAUGGGCGAAAGCCUGAUCCAGCAAUGCCGCGUGAGUGAUGAAGGCCUUAGGGUUGUAAAGCUCUUUUACCCGGGAUGAUAAUGACAGUACCGGGAGAAUAAGCUCCGGCUAACUCCGUG